RNAcentral lists this ribosomal RNA (1373 nucleotides) under uncultured bacterium. Its description in RNAcentral is "bacterial SSU rRNA". It matches the Rfam family "Bacterial small subunit ribosomal RNA", at positions 28 to 1381 of the family's 1533-position model. The record is from RNAcentral.
GAUGAACGCUGGCGGCGUGCCUAAUACAUGCAAGUCGAGCGAACGGACGAGAAGCUUGCUUCUCUGAUGUUAGCGGCGGACGGGUGAGUAACACGUGGAUAACCUACCUAUAAGACUGGGAUAACUUCGGGAAACCGGAGCUAAUACCGGAUAAUAUUUUGAACCGCAUGGUUCAAAAGUGAAAGACGGUCUUGCUGUCACUUAUAGAUGGAUCCGCGCUGCAUUAGCUAGUUGGUAAGGUAACGGCUUACCAAGGCAACGAUGCAUAGCCGACCUGAGAGGGUGAUCGGCCACACUGGAACUGAGACACGGUCCAGACUCCUACGGGAGGCAGCAGUAGGGAAAUCUUCCGCAAUGGGCGAAAGCCUGACGGAGCAACGCCGCGUGAGUGAUGAAGGUCUUCGGAUCGUAAAACUCUGUUAUUAGGGAAGAACAUAUGUGUAAGUAACUGUGCACAUCUUGACGGUACCUAAUCAGAAAGCCACGGCUAACUACGUGCCAGCAGCCGCGGUAAUACGUAGGUGGCAAGCGUUAUCCGGAAUUAUUGGGCGUAAAGCGCGCGUAGGCGGUUUUUUAAGUCUGAUGUGAAAGCCCACGGCCCAACCGUGGAGGGUCAUUGGAAACUGGAAAACUUGAGUGCAGAAGAGGAAAGUGGAAUUCCAUGUGUAGCGGUGAAAUGCGCAGAGAUAUGGAGGAACACCAGUGGCGAAGGCGACUUUCUGGUCUGUAACUGACGCUGAUGUGCGAAAGCGUGGGGAUCAAACAGGAUUAGAUACCCUGGUAGUCCACGCCGUAAACGAUGAGUGCUAAGUGUUAGGGGGUUUCCGCCCCUUAGUGCUGCAGCUAACGCAUUAAGCACUCCGCCUGGGGAGUACGACCGCAAGGUUGAAACUCAAAGGAAUUGACGGGGACCCGCACAAGCGGUGGAGCAUGUGGUUUAAUUCGAAGCAACGCGAAGAACCUUACCAAAUCCUGACAUCCUUUGACAACUCUAGAGAUAGAGCCUUCCCCUUCGGGGGACAAAGUGACAGGUGGUGCAUGGUUGUCGUCAGCUCGUGUCGUGAGAUGUUGGGUUAAGUCCCGCAACGAGCGCAACCCUUAAGCUUAGUUGCCAUCAUUAAGUUGGGCACUCUAAGUUGACUGCCGGUGACAAACCGGAGGAAGGUGGGGAUGACGUCAAAUCAUCAUGCCCCUUAUGAUUUGGGCUACACACGUGCUACAAUGGACAAUACAAAGGGCAGCGAAACCGCGAGGUCAAGCAAAUCCCAUAAAGUUGUUCUCAGUUCGGAUUGUAGUCUGCAACUCGACUACAUGAAGCUGGAAUCGCUAGUAAUCGUAGAUCAGCAUGCUACGGUGAAUACGUUCCCGGGUCU